Long non-coding RNA from Folsomia candida, 1137 nucleotides. RefSeq lists it as uncharacterized. The transcript is spliced from 3 exons. NCBI's taxonomy places the organism in Eukaryota, Metazoa, Arthropoda, Collembola, Entomobryomorpha, Isotomidae. The record is from RefSeq and is a predicted model, not a curated record.
CCUGAACCGUUGUUCGUUAUUAUGAGACGCCUUCAGCCAAAUCAAGGCAAAUCCUUUGUAGUGAAAUCCCAGCCAAAUAAAUUGAAUCGUUCAUAAUACUUAUGCAUUAACAAAUAUGAUAUUUAGUUUGUUCUUAUUGCUAUGUACCCUUUUGCAAGAAUAUAUGUACCAUGAAUUUGAAGAGGCUGCAUGAAAACUAAAUAUCAUUGGCUUGCAUGUGUGUUUGGAAUUUAGGCUUGAAGACACCAUUCCCUUGAAAUUUACAAUAGACCGCAGUCAGGAAACUCCACCGAAAUUACAUUGCUAUUUAUUAUAUUGCUAUUUGUCUCAGUUUUCGUUCCAAUAUAUUUUACACUGGACAACAUUAAUCCAAAGUCAUACGUGAUAAAAUAUCACAUGUAAAAUUGGCAAUCGAAAAUUGAGAUAUCUGCCGAUCAGCCUAUUGAAAAAGGAGCAUGCUUGUGUUAUAUCAUAAUCUGUGAUGGUUGCUUACUUUAAGUAUUCAACUCUGUGAACUAAACCUGAGGAGAAAUUCAAAGGCUGAUAUAACUCAUACCAGAAUUGGAAUUAUAUUCAACCAAACGUAACAAACGAAGAGCUAACUAAAUACGAACAUGAUGUAUCUAAUCCAAGAGUCUCGACCAAAAUGUGGACAAAAAACUGGCUUGAGUUCCAUCCAUAAUGAAGGAAAGACACAAAUCUUACAUCAGCAGUUAUAUCUCUCUAACUAACGUACAACAACUAACUAACUUGAGACAGGGAGGAAAGAAAACCGUGGUGAGGCAGGUAACCAGACGAAGAAGGUAAGAAAUAUCGGGGAGGUGUGAUGAUGAAGAAGAUUCUUUGUGUCGUCCAUAUCGUAUCGUUGUUGGUUGCGCUAUAUGCCGUGCAUGCAUUCCACGUUAUUAAUGUUGUAAUCUGUGUAGUACGAAUGUAAUGGUUGUACUUUUUGACUGCAGUUAAGUUUAGUUAAAGAAGUUUUUGUUUGAAUAGUUUUUGGAUGGAAGGAAGGGGAGUGAAAUUGUCGAGGGAUAAUGUGGCAUGGCCAAGUAUUUUCCAGCUGCGUCUUCUUCUUCUCCCGAAUAAUAUGAUGAUCCAUGAUGAUGUUGAUGCUGGUUGGUCGUUGUUCGUGGUGGU